UUCCAGGCAAAUCCGGAAAACUAAGGCUGAGGCGUGAUGACGAGGCACUACGGUGCUGAAGCAACAAAUGCCCUGCUUCCAGGAAAAGCCUCUAAGCAUCAGGUAACAUCAAAUCGUACCCCAAACCGACACAGGUGGUCAGGUAGAGAAUACCAAGGCGCUUGAGAGAACUCGGGUGAAGGAACUAGGCAAAAUGGUGCCGUAACUUCGGGAGAAGGCACGCUGAUAUGUAGGUGAAGCGACUUGCUCGUGGAGCUGAAAUCAGUCGAAGAUACCAGCUGGCUGCAACUGUUUAUUAAAAACACAGCACUGUGCAAACACGAAAGUGGACGUAUACGGUGUGACGCCUGCCCGGUGCCGGAAGGUUAAUUGAUGGGGUUAGCGGUAACGCGAAGCUCCUGAUCGAAGCCCCGGUAAAC
RNAcentral lists this ribosomal RNA (419 nucleotides) under Escherichia coli. RNAcentral's name for it is "partial 23S ribosomal RNA". It matches the Rfam family "Bacterial large subunit ribosomal RNA", at positions 1530 to 1928 of the family's 2925-position model. The record is from RNAcentral. Lineage: Bacteria; Pseudomonadati; Pseudomonadota; Gammaproteobacteria; Enterobacterales; Enterobacteriaceae.